UCCCUGGUGGUCCAGUGGUUAAGGCUCUGUGCUCCUAAUGCAGGGGCCCAGGUUCAAUCCCUGGUCGGGGAA
Non-coding RNA from Globicephala melas (long-finned pilot whale), 72 nucleotides. The record is from the annotation of a RefSeq genome assembly. Lineage: Eukaryota; Metazoa; Chordata; Mammalia; Artiodactyla; Delphinidae.